AUUGAGUUUGAUCCUGGCUCAGAAUCAACGCUGGCGGCGCGCUUAACACAUGCAAGUCGCACGAGAAAGUGGAGCAAUCCAUGAGUAAAGUGGCGCACGGGUGAGUAACACGUGGAUCAUUUACCUUCUUGUGGGGAAUAACCCUGGGAAACCGGGGUUAAUACCGCAUAAGUCCGAGAGGAGAAAGCCGCAAGGCGCAAGGAGAGAAGUCCGCGGCCGAUUAGCUAGUUGGUAGGGUAAUGGCCUACCAAGGCGACGAUCGGUAGCCGGCCUGAGAGGGCACACGGCCACACUGGCACUGAAACACGGGCCAGACUCCUACGGGAGGCAGCAGUGGGGAAUCUUGCACAAUGGGGGAAACCCUGAUGCAGCGACGCCGCGUGAACGAUGAAGCCCUUCGGGGUGUAAAGUUCUUUCGACGGGGACGAUAAUGACGGUACCCGGAGAAGAAGCUGCGGCUAACUACGUGCCAGCAGCCGCGGUAAUACGUAGGCAGCAAGCGUUGUUCGGAAUUACUGGGCGUAAAGAGUGCGUAGGCGGUUGGCUAAGUUUGGUGUGAAAUCUCCCGGCUCAACUGGGAGGGUGCGCCGAAAACUGGCCGGCUAGAGUGUGGGAGAGGUAAGUGGAAUUCCUGGUGUAGCGGUGAAAUGCGUAGAUAUCAGGAGGAACACCUGCGGUGUAGACGGCUUACUGGACCAUGACUGACGCUGAGGCACGAAAGCGUGGGGAGCAAACAGGAUUAGAUACCCUGGUAGUCCACGCCCUAAACGAUGCAAACUUGGUGUGCGCCCUUCAUUGGGUGCGUGCCGUAGCUAACGCGUUAAGUUUGCCGCCUGGGGAGUAC
This 844-nucleotide ribosomal RNA is filed under the name uncultured bacterium. Its description in RNAcentral is "bacterial SSU rRNA". It matches the Rfam family "Bacterial small subunit ribosomal RNA", at positions 1 to 883 of the family's 1533-position model. The record is from RNAcentral.